UAGCGGCGAGCGAAGCGGCAACAGCUCAAAUUUGAAAUCUGGCCCCCUCGGGGUCCGAGUUGUAAUUUGUAGAGGAUGCUUCGGGCAUGGUCCCAGUCUAAGUUCCUUGGAACAGGACGUCAUAGAGGGUGAGAAUCCCGUAUGUGACUGGUGGCCCGGCCCAUGUGAAGCUCCCUCGAUGAGUCGAGUUGUUUGGGAAUGCAGCUCUAAAUGGGUGGUAAAUUUCAUCUAAAGCUAAAUACCGGCCAGAGACCGAUAGCGCACAAGUAGAGUGAUCGAAAGAUGAAAAGCACUUUGGAAAGAGAGUUAAAAAGUACGUGAAAUUGUUGAAAGGGAAGCGCUUGCAAUCAGACUUGCCCGUGGUCGAUCAGCCGGUGCUCGCACCGGUGCACUCAUCCACGGUCAGGCCAGCAUCAGUUUUGGCGGCGGGACAAAGGCUCCAGGAAUGUAGCUCCUCUCGGGGAGUGUUAUAGCCUGGGGUGAAAUGCCGCCCGCCGGGACUGAGGAACGCGCUUCGGCUCGGAUGCUGGCGUAAUGGUUGUAAGCGGCCCGUCUUGAAACACGGACCAAGGAGUCUAACAUCUAUGCGAGUGUUUGGGUGUCAAACCCAUGCGCGGAAUGAAAGUGAACGGAGGUGGGAACCCUUAAGGGUGCACCAUCGACCGAUCCUGAUGUCUUCGGAUGGAUUUGAGUAAGAGCAUAGCUGUUGGGACCCGAAAGAUGGUGAACUAUGCCUGAAUAGGGUGAAGCCAGAGGAAACUCUGGUGGAGGCUCGCAGCGGUUCUGACGUGCAAAUCGAUCGUCAAAUUUGGGUAUAG
RNAcentral lists this ribosomal RNA (818 nucleotides) under Strangospora pinicola. RNAcentral's name for it is "eukaryotic LSU rRNA". It matches the Rfam family "Eukaryotic large subunit ribosomal RNA", at positions 84 to 920 of the family's 3401-position model. Lineage: Eukaryota; Fungi; Ascomycota; Lecanoromycetes; Strangosporaceae. The record is from RNAcentral.